CUUGGGCGAGAGUAGUACUAG
RNAcentral lists this non-coding RNA (21 nucleotides) under Arabidopsis thaliana (thale cress). Lineage: Eukaryota; Viridiplantae; Streptophyta; Magnoliopsida; Brassicales; Brassicaceae. The record is from RNAcentral.